RNAcentral lists this long non-coding RNA (556 nucleotides) under Ananas comosus (pineapple). RNAcentral's name for it is "long non-coding RNA (ACOM_LNC001325)". The record is from RNAcentral. Lineage: Eukaryota; Viridiplantae; Streptophyta; Magnoliopsida; Poales; Bromeliaceae.
AUAAAAUAAAUGAAAAUACAAUAAAUAACCUAAUUCCUCCACAAAAUAUAUUAACUUCCCGUUUAUCUCCGUGCAAAACGAAAUCAAACCUGAAUUUAUAUUUCAAAUCUAAAUUUAUAAUUAUAAUUUAAGCUAAAUUAAAUUUAAAUAUAUCUAUAUAUUUAAAUAGUUUUUAUUAAAAUUUAAUAAUUAUUAUUAAAUUGAAUUCUACACCUCUUACAUAUGACAAAGCUCUUUACCCUGGAAUUAAGCUACACCCUCUUUUUUAUUUUUCUGAAAUAUAUAAAUUAAUAACGUAUAUUAGUUUUCAAAAAUCCGAAUCCGAAUUCAAAAAUCCAAAUCCAAAUUCAAAAUAUUCUAAUAUAUCCGUAUCCAAAUCAGAAUUCAAAAUAUUGUAAAUUUAACAUCCGAAUUAAUCGGAAUCCAAAUCCGAAUCCGAAUCUGAUCCGAAUUCGAAUUAGACGGGAUGCAUAGUUGGGCAUUCAUAUUCGCAUCCAAUCGAAUUCGGUGUCGAAUUCGAAUUAAUACAUUUUUAAUUGUUAUGGAAAAAACAUUG